Molecule: ribosomal RNA, 253 nt
Filed under: uncultured bacterium
Lineage: Bacteria
Description: partial 16S ribosomal RNA
Rfam family: Bacterial small subunit ribosomal RNA
Source: RNAcentral
UACAGAGGUCCCAAGCGUUGUUCGGAUUCAUUGGGCGUAAAGGGUGCGUAGGUGGUGCCGUAAGUCAGGUGUGAAAUCUCGGGGCUCAACCCCGAAACUGCACUUGAUACUGCGGUGCUCGAGGCCUGGAGAGGAGAUUGGAAUUCAUGGUGUAGCAGUGAAAUGCGUAGAUAUCAUGAGGAAGACCAGUGGCGAAGGCGGAUCUCUGGACAGUUCCUGACACUGAGGCACGAAGGCCAGGGGAGCAAACGGG